GUGCUCUGCUAGCGAAGAAAGCAAAGCACGUAUUUCUAGUACUCGUUUCCUUAACAAUGUUUUUUAGGACAAAUCUCUCUGCUGCUUUUCUGUGCUCCAGCUUCUCCAAUUUUUCCGAUGUUGGUGUCCGCGUCUUCUGAAUAAUAUUUCUGGGAUUCAUCAGCCCUCAAGUUCAGGUUUGUACGCUCUCCACACUUUGGAUAUUUCGGCAAGUGAUCAUAGUACUUUAAUUUGGUGGUCAGUACAUUUAACCAUACUCUAUACAAGUUACAGCACACGUUUAGUUA
Long non-coding RNA from Syzygium oleosum, 287 nucleotides. RefSeq lists it as uncharacterized. Lineage: Eukaryota; Viridiplantae; Streptophyta; Magnoliopsida; Myrtales; Myrtaceae. The transcript has 2 exons. The record is from RefSeq and is a predicted model, not a curated record.